GGCUUCCCUUGAGUGUUGGAUUGUAAAAAAUCAAGUCAUUUGGUGCACAUAUAUUUCUUUUUGUCUAGGUUAGAUUGUGUGCUUUUAGCAUUUUGUCAAAACAAUUUGUUAAUCUCAUGAAAAUCAACAUUUAGAAAACUUUUUAUACUGAUCAAAAUAAUCCCUCACACAUCCCCUUGCAAUCCCCCAAAUAAUUGACUUACUAUUAACCCUCUAAAUAAAUAAUUGACCCACUUACAUAUUAUUUUAAAAAAUUAAACUCAAACCUUUUAAAUUUAUGUGGCGAUCAAAGUGUAUCACUUAAAAAAUAUGGAGGGAGUAAAAUGUCACACACACAUUGCUUACGUAAAUACUAGUUUGAUACGAGUAUAACAGAACAUGUCGACAACAACGCUUGCCAUUUAGUGUAAAAUUUUGCACGGUCCACUUGCGUAGAGAGAUCAGACGAUGCACUGCUUAGUGUACUCAACCAUUGGUCAUGGCUUGGUCAUUAGGAGGGAGAGAGCAUUAAAAAGAAUAAAGAAAUAUGAGAGAUAAGAAGUAGGGAAGAGAGAGAAGCAUGACCUGGUCAUGCCCAUCACCAAAACUAACUCUUGGGCAUAAAAGGUAGUGAGGACAAGUGGAAAUAACAUUGUUUAUUUAUUUUUAUUUUUUGUUAUUAGUAAUAUAAAGGAUUUUUUGGAUAAAACCACCUUUUAAAGUUCAACUUUUUGAAAAAACCACCUUAUAUGUUUUUUUUUUUUAAAAAACCACCUUUUAUGUUCAAAGUUUUAGAAAUCACCACCAAAUACUAACGUCCGUCUACAAUUUCGUCCGUGGGGUCCGCAACCAAUGACCCAAAAUUAAUUUUCCCUCCUCUUUUUCUUCCUUCUUCCUCCCAUUGAACAGAGCCUCCAUUGUCAAACCUCUCUCCAAAAAUUUGCUCAAAAAUUCGCAACCUUACACUCAAUUCUCUCCCAAAUUUUCAAGUACAAUUCAUUAGCAAUCCAUUUUCGGCGCUUGCCCCCAAAAAUCAACAUAGUUCGCGUGCUUAAGCAGGUUGAUGGACCACGAGAGUAUUGUUAUUGCGGAGCUCCUGUGGCAAUUCAUAUGGUGUUAUUCAUGUGUUGCCUAAUGUUUGUAGUUAUUCAUGUGUUGCCUAAUGUUUGUAGUUAUUGUAUUUGGUGUUGUGAUUUUAUUUAAGUAGUUCUUGGAUUAGUGGUGUCGUUAAUGAUCCGAAUAUAGGAUGGUUUGAGCGAAUUGAUUUAGUGUAUUGAUGGAAAUGUAAUAUCGUAUGAAUCAAUGAAUGAAUAUUUUUGUGUUA
Long non-coding RNA from Spinacia oleracea (spinach), 1303 nucleotides. RefSeq lists it as uncharacterized. The transcript is spliced from 2 exons. The record is from RefSeq and is a predicted model, not a curated record. Lineage: Eukaryota; Viridiplantae; Streptophyta; Magnoliopsida; Caryophyllales; Amaranthaceae.